RNAcentral lists this ribosomal RNA (2892 nucleotides) under Escherichia coli O104:H4. RNAcentral's name for it is "bacterial LSU rRNA". It matches the Rfam family "Bacterial large subunit ribosomal RNA". Lineage: Bacteria; Pseudomonadati; Pseudomonadota; Gammaproteobacteria; Enterobacterales; Enterobacteriaceae. The record is from RNAcentral.
ACUAAGCGUACACGGUGGAUGCCCUGGCAGUCAGAGGCGAUGAAGGACGUGCUAAUCUGCGAUAAGCGUCGGUAAGGUGAUAUGAACCGUUAUAACCGGCGAUUUCCGAAUGGGGAAACCCAGUGUGAUUCGUCACACUAUCAUUAACUGAAUCCAUAGGUUAAUGAGGCGAACCGGGGGAACUGAAACAUCUAAGUACCCCGAGGAAAAGAAAUCAACCGAGAUUCCCCCAGUAGCGGCGAGCGAACGGGGAGCAGCCCAGAGCCUGAAUCAGUGUGUGUGUUAGUGGAAGCGUCUGGAAAGGCGCGCGAUACAGGGUGACAGCCCCGUACACAAAAAUGCACAUGCUGUGAGCUCGAUGAGUAGGGCGGGACACGUGGUAUCCUGUCUGAAUAUGGGGGGACCAUCCUCCAAGGCUAAAUACUCCUGACUGACCGAUAGUGAACCAGUACCGUGAGGGAAAGGCGAAAAGAACCCCGGCGAGGGGAGUGAAAAAGAACCUGAAACCGUGUACGUACAAGCAGUGGGAGCACGCUUAGGCGUGUGACUGCGUACCUUUUGUAUAAUGGGUCAGCGACUUAUAUUCUGUAGCAAGGUUAACCGAAUAGGGGAGCCGAAGGGAAACCGAGUCUUAACUGGGCGUUAAGUUGCAGGGUAUAGACCCGAAACCCGGUGAUCUAGCCAUGGGCAGGUUGAAGGUUGGGUAACACUAACUGGAGGACCGAACCGACUAAUGUUGAAAAAUUAGCGGAUGACUUGUGGCUGGGGGUGAAAGGCCAAUCAAACCGGGAGAUAGCUGGUUCUCCCCGAAAGCUAUUUAGGUAGCGCCUCGUGAAUUCAUCUCCGGGGGUAGAGCACUGUUUCGGCAAGGGGGUCAUCCCGACUUACCAACCCGAUGCAAACUGCGAAUACCGGAGAAUGUUAUCACGGGAGACACACGGCGGGUGCUAACGUCCGUCGUGAAGAGGGAAACAACCCAGACCGCCAGCUAAGGUCCCAAAGUCAUGGUUAAGUGGGAAACGAUGUGGGAAGGCCCAGACAGCCAGGAUGUUGGCUUAGAAGCAGCCAUCAUUUAAAGAAAGCGUAAUAGCUCACUGGUCGAGUCGGCCUGCGCGGAAGAUGUAACGGGGCUAAACCAUGCACCGAAGCUGCGGCAGCGACACUAUGUGUUGUUGGGUAGGGGAGCGUUCUGUAAGCCUGUGAAGGUGUACUGUGAGGUAUGCUGGAGGUAUCAGAAGUGCGAAUGCUGACAUAAGUAACGAUAAAGCGGGUGAAAAGCCCGCUCGCCGGAAGACCAAGGGUUCCUGUCCAACGUUAAUCGGGGCAGGGUGAGUCGACCCCUAAGGCGAGGCCGAAAGGCGUAGUCGAUGGGAAACAGGUUAAUAUUCCUGUACUUGGUGUUACUGCGAAGGGGGGACGGAGAAGGCUAUGUUGGCCGGGCGACGGUUGUCCCGGUUUAAGCGUGUAGGCUGGUUUUCCAGGCAAAUCCGGAAAAUCAAGGCUGAGGCGUGAUGACGAGGCACUACGGUGCUGAAGCAACAAAUGCCCUGCUUCCAGGAAAAGCCUCUAAGCAUCAGGUAACAUCAAAUCGUACCCCAAACCGACACAGGUGGUCAGGUAGAGAAUACCAAGGCGCUUGAGAGAACUCGGGUGAAGGAACUAGGCAAAAUGGUGCCGUAACUUCGGGAGAAGGCACGCUGAUAUGUAGGUGAAGUCCCUCGCGGAUGGAGCUGAAAUCAGUCGAAGAUACCAGCUGGCUGCAACUGUUUAUUAAAAACACAGCACUGUGCAAACACGAAAGUGGACGUAUACGGUGUGACGCCUGCCCGGUGCCGGAAGGUUAAUUGAUGGGGUCAGCGCAAGCGAAGCUCUUGAUCGAAGCCCCGGUAAACGGCGGCCGUAACUAUAACGGUCCUAAGGUAGCGAAAUUCCUUGUCGGGUAAGUUCCGACCUGCACGAAUGGCGUAAUGAUGGCCAGGCUGUCUCCACCCGAGACUCAGUGAAAUUGAACUCGCUGUGAAGAUGCAGUGUACCCGCGGCAAGACGGAAAGACCCCGUGAACCUUUACUAUAGCUUGACACUGAACAUUGAGCCUUGAUGUGUAGGAUAGGUGGGAGGCUUUGAAGUGUGGACGCCAGUCUGCAUGGAGCCGACCUUGAAAUACCACCCUUUAAUGUUUGAUGUUCUAACGUUGACCCGUGAUCCGGGUUGCGGACAGUGUCUGGUGGGUAGUUUGACUGGGGCGGUCUCCUCCUAAAGAGUAACGGAGGAGCACGAAGGUUGGCUAAUCCUGGUCGGACAUCAGGAGGUUAGUGCAAUGGCAUAAGCCAGCUUGACUGCGAGCGUGACGGCGCGAGCAGGUGCGAAAGCAGGUCAUAGUGAUCCGGUGGUUCUGAAUGGAAGGGCCAUCGCUCAACGGAUAAAAGGUACUCCGGGGAUAACAGGCUGAUACCGCCCAAGAGUUCAUAUCGACGGCGGUGUUUGGCACCUCGAUGUCGGCUCAUCACAUCCUGGGGCUGAAGUAGGUCCCAAGGGUAUGGCUGUUCGCCAUUUAAAGUGGUACGCGAGCUGGGUUUAGAACGUCGUGAGACAGUUCGGUCCCUAUCUGCCGUGGGCGCUGGAGAACUGAGGGGGGCUGCUCCUAGUACGAGAGGACCGGAGUGGACGCAUCACUGGUGUUCGGGUUGUCAUGCCAAUGGCACUGCCCGGUAGCUAAAUGCGGAAGAGAUAAGUGCUGAAAGCAUCUAAGCACGAAACUUGCCCCGAGAUGAGUUCUCCCUGACUCCUUGAGAGUCCUGAAGGAACGUUGAAGACGACGACGUUGAUAGGCCGGGUGUGUAAGCGCAGCGAUGCGUUGAGCUAACCGGUACUAAUGAACCGUGAGGCUUAACC